UUGCUUCUUGGGUGACGAGCGGCGGACGGGUGAGUAAUGCAUAGGAAUCUGCCCGAUAGUGGGGGAUAACCUGGGGAAACCCAGGCUAAUACCGCAUACGUCCUACGGGAGAAAGGGGGCUCCGGCUCCCGCCAUGGGAUGAGCCUAUGUCGGAUUAGCUAGUUGGUGAGGUAACGGCUCACCAAGGCCACGAUCCGUAGCUGGUCUGAGAGGAUGAUCAGCCACAUCGGGACUGAGACACGGCCCGAACUCCUACGGGAGGCAGCAGUGGGGAAUAUUGGACAAUGGGCGCAAGCCUGAUCCAGCCAUGCCGCGUGUGUGAAGAAGGCCCUCGGGUUGUAAAGCACUUUCAGCGAGGAAGAACGCCUAGCGGUUAAUACCCGCUAGGAAAGACAUCACUCGCAGAAGAAGCACCGGCUAACUCCGUGCCAGCAGCCGCGGUAAUACGGAGGGUGCAAGCGUUAAUCGGAAUUACUGGGCGUAAAGCGCGCGUAGGUGGCUUGAUAAGCCGGUUGUGAAAGCCCCGGGCUCAACCUGGGAACGGCAUCCGGAACUGUCAAGCUAGAGUGCAGGAGAGGAAGGUAGAAUUCCCGGUGUAGC
This 600-nucleotide ribosomal RNA is filed under the name uncultured bacterium. RNAcentral describes it as "bacterial SSU rRNA". It matches the Rfam family "Bacterial small subunit ribosomal RNA", at positions 76 to 679 of the family's 1533-position model. The record is from RNAcentral.